CGGGGGAUUGCUUAGUACGGCGAGUGAAGCGGCAAAAGCUCAAAUUUGAAAUCUGGUACCUUCGGUGCCCGAGUUGUAAUUUGGAGAGGGCAACUUUGGGGCCGUUCCUUGUCUAUGUUCCUUGGAACAGGACGUCAUAGAGGGUGAGAAUCCCGUGUGGCGAGGAGUGCGGUUCUUUGUAAAGUGCCUUCGAAGAGUCGAGUUGUUUGGGAAUGCAGCUCUAAGUGGGUGGUAAAUUCCAUCUAAAGCUAAAUAUUGGCGAGAGACCGAUAGCGAACAAGUACAGUGAUGGAAAGAUGAAAAGAACUUUGAAAAGAGAGUGAAAAAGUACGUGAAAUUGUUGAAAGGGAAGGGCAUUUGAUCAGACAUGGUGUUUUGUGCCCUCUGCUCCUUGUGGGUAGGGGAAUCUCGCAUUUCACUGGGCCAGCAUCAGUUUUGGUGGCAGGAUAAAUCCAUAGGAAUGUAGCUUGCCUCGGUAAGUAUUAUAGCCUGUGGGAAUACUGCCAGCUGGGACUGAGGACUGCGACGUAAGUCAAGGAUGCUGGCAUAAUGGUUAUAUGCCGCCCGUCUUGAACCACGGACCAAA
Molecule: ribosomal RNA, 586 nt
Filed under: Saccharomyces cerevisiae (brewer's yeast)
Lineage: Eukaryota; Fungi; Ascomycota; Saccharomycetes; Saccharomycetales; Saccharomycetaceae
Description: partial large subunit ribosomal RNA
Rfam family: Eukaryotic large subunit ribosomal RNA
Source: RNAcentral